Dreissena polymorpha is the source of this 309-nucleotide long non-coding RNA. RefSeq lists it as uncharacterized. NCBI's taxonomy places the organism in Eukaryota, Metazoa, Mollusca, Bivalvia, Myida, Dreissenidae. The transcript has 3 exons. The record is from RefSeq and is a predicted model, not a curated record.
CAAGUGACCAAAACAGGCAAGGGGCUAGGUACAGAUGACUUCAGCCGCUAUCUGAGCCGUUAUCACCAGGCAUCAUGAUGAAGAAGCAACCCCUUGUUGGCUUUGCCGUCCUAAUGUUUCUUGUUGUAUCUCUUUAUGUUCUCGAGAAACAGAAGGUCUGUCCAGUUGAAAUGCAUCAGAAUGAGGUACACAAAGCAGAGGAACCUCGUGACUUACAUACAGCAAAUGAACCACUUGACUUUAUUAUCCCGAGUGACGACGAGCUGAAGAAGAUGUCCACUCAGGAACGGAGACAGAUAUAUUGGGAGU